RNAcentral lists this ribosomal RNA (460 nucleotides) under uncultured bacterium. RNAcentral describes it as "partial 16S ribosomal RNA". It matches the Rfam family "Bacterial small subunit ribosomal RNA", at positions 338 to 795 of the family's 1533-position model. The record is from RNAcentral.
CCUACGGGGGGCUGCAGUGAGGAAUAUUGGUCAAUGGGCGCGAGCCUGAACCAGCCAAGUAGCGUGAAGGAUGACUGCCCUACGGGUUGUAAACUUCUUUUAUAAAGGAAUAAAGUGAGGCACGUGUGCCUUUUUGUAUGUACUUUAUGAAUAAAGAUCGGCUAACUCCGUGCCAGCAGCCGCGGUAAUACGGAGGAUCCGAGCGUUAUCCGGAUUUAUUGGGUUUAAAGGGAGCGUAGAUGGGUUGUUAAGUCAGUUGUGAAAGUUUGCGGCUCAACCGUAAAAGUGCAAUUGAUACUGGCAGUCUUGAGUACAGUUGAGGGAGGCAGAAUUCGUGGUGUAGCGGUGAAAUGCUUAGAGAUCACGAAGAACUCCGAUUGCGAAGGCAGCUUACUAAACGGCCACUGACAUUGAGGCGCGAAAGUGUGGGUAGCAAACAGGAUUAGAUACCCGAGUAGUC